This is an RNA transcript of Lotus japonicus, 2978 nucleotides long. It is a transcript of the gene named F-box/LRR-repeat MAX2 homolog A-like, with no coding region annotated. The transcript has a single exon. The record is from RefSeq and is a predicted model, not a curated record. Lineage: Eukaryota; Viridiplantae; Streptophyta; Magnoliopsida; Fabales; Fabaceae.
AUGGCCGGCGUAAAUGAAACCGGCAUGAGUGACCUGCCAGAGGAGAUUCUAGCCAACGUGUUCUCCGCCGUGACAGACACCCGCACUCGGAACUCCCUCUCUCUGGUGUGCCGGAGCUUCCUCAAGUUGGAGCGCAAGACCAGAACCUCCCUCACGCUCCGCGGCAACGUAUUUGACCUCCACAGUAUCCCCACCUCCUUCCGCCAUGUCACUCACCUCGACCUCUCAUUACUCUCCCCGUGGGGCUACGAGCUCUUCCGCACCGACUCCGAGUCCCAACUCCCCACCGAUUCCAAGCCCCAACUCCUUGCUCUCCGACUCCGCCGCGCCUUCCCUCACGUCGCCUCACUCACCCUCUACGCCCUCCUCCCGAUCACGCUCCACCUCCUCCUACUUUCCUGGCCGGAGCUCCGCCGCGUUAAGCUCGUCCGAUGGCACGAGCGCGCGCCCGCUGACCUCUUCAGAAUCCGAAUUCGACGGCCUCUUCGAGCAUUGCCGGUCGCUCACCUCGCUGGACCUCUCCAGCUUCUACGACUGGAGCACCUGGAACCUCCUUUCGGCGCUGAAAUCAAACCCGGUCACCACCGCGUCGAUGCGGCGGCUGAAUCUCCUUACGGCCUCGCUCAAGGAGGGUAUCAAGUCGGUUGAAAUUCAGGACAUAACCAGAGCGUGCCCUAACCUGGAGCACCUCCUUCUGGCUUGCACCUUCGACCCGAAGCACAGUGGAUAUGUUGGUGACGAAACCCUCUUGGCCAUCGCCUCGAAUUGCCCCAAACUCACGCUUCUUCAUCUCGGUGAUACGGCGUCGUUGUCCAACCUUCGGGGUGAUCCUGAGGACACUGGUGUGGACGCUAGGAUUAGUGGUGCGGCUAUGGUUGAGUUUUUCUGUGGUUUGCCUUUGCUUGAGGAGUUGGUUCUAGAUGUUUGUAAAAAUGUCAGAGACAGUUGUUUUCUGUUGGAAGUGCUUGGUACCAAGUGCCCCAAGUUGAGGGUGCUUCAGUUGCGGCAGUUUCAAUGGAUUUGCUUGGCAAUUGGGCCGCAGCUUCAUGGGGUUGCUCUAUGUCAAGGGCUGCAGUCCCUGUCGAUUAGCAACUGUGCUGACUUGACGGACAAGGGGUUGAUUGUUAUUGCGAGAGGGUGUUCGAGGCUGGUUAAGUUUCAUGUGCAGGGCUGCAAGGGCAUCAUGGAGAAAGGCUUGAAGGCCUUGACUUGUUUGCUUCGCAGAACUUUGAUGGAUGUUAAGAUUUCUUGCUGUUUGAACCUCAACGCAUCCGCGUCUCUCCAAGCUUUGGAGCUCAUUCGGGACCGGGUGGAGCGGCUUCAUGUGGACUGUGUUUGGAGUGGCUUGAAAGAAACAAAUGUUGACCUCAAUAAUUUGGAGGAAUGUUUCUCUGAUCUGAAUGAUGAUGAAUUCGUUGGUUGUUCUGGGAGUGUGGAUUUGGAGGGGACAAGCCAAAAGAAGAAACAAAGAUGCAGCUCUUCGUCAUCAUCAGAGGUUGAAAAUGGUUACCAAUGCAGCCGUAGCUGGGACAGGCUGCGAUAUCUUUCUCUUUGGAUAGGGGUUUGUGAUGUUUUAACUCCAUUGCCAAUGGCAGGGCUGGAGGAUUGCCCCAAUUUGGAAGAAAUUCGUAUACGGGUGGAAGGAGAUUCCGAAGGGAAACCGGAACAACCAGAGAGCGGAUUCGGCUUGAGCACUCUGGCUUGUUAUCCUAAGUUAUCUAAGAUGCAGUUGGAUUGUGGUGAUACAACAGGUGCAUGGUAUGCAUCCCAAGGGCAUAUGGAUUUGACAAAGUGGGAGACAUUCGUCUUGAAUGGAAUCAGCACCCUUAGUCUAUAUGAACUUGAUUACUGGCCACCACGACGCAAUGGUUCAGAGCAAAGGAUUAUCUCAAAACCAGCUGCUGGCUUGCUACAAGAAUGUCAGACUCUGAGGAAACUUUUUAUUCAUGGAUCGGCUGAUGAGUAUUUCAUGAAAAUUUUCCUCAAAAUACCACAUCUAAGGGACAUCCAGCUGAGGGAGGAUUAUUAUCCUGCACCAACGGAAAGUUCUUGUUGCUCCACUGAAGUUGAAUUUAUUAAUCGUCGAGUCCGUGACUGAAAAUAUGAUACUCAUACUAAAUUUGGUGGCUGAAAAACCUGGGAGUAAACAGUGGAUUUUGUUCACCGGAGCAUAUGCUCACUUCUUUGGUUUAUUUCUUUUUUGCUUAAACAAGUUUUUAUUCUGUCUAAUUCCUUUGUUGGUAACAUUCCAGCAACCAAGGGGUCUCUCAGUUCUUAAUUGUUCUCUCUUUGUCACACAAUAGCAUUUCUGGUGCAAUCCCUUCAGAUAUUGGUGGUUGUUCACAUGUUGAAGUACUUCACCUGCUCUCAGAUUGGUUGCAAGCUAACAUUCUGGUUCGGGGUGAAAUCUCACACCUUUCUUGGUUAAAAAAGAGCUUAACUUGGGAAACAGUAUGUUAAAUAGUGAUAUCCCAGAUGAAAUCUCAAAAUGUUCUGCUUUGACGUCACUUGUAUUGGUCGCUACAGAAAAUUUACCAAACUCUACCAUGUUGAGCCUCUCUUCAAAUUCAUUGACAAGAAAAAUUCUGGGUGGUUUUUCAUUCAUUUCUGGUUUGAAGUAUUUGAAUUUAUCCAACAAUAAUCUUGAGGGUGAGAUUCCAGAAAUGCUCAGUUCUAGAUUCCUUCAGUGUUUGCAAUGGAUGAGAGGCUAUGCGGGAAGCCUUUGCAUAUAGAAUGUGAAAAUAUGAGAAGGCGAAAGAGGAGAAGGAUAAUAGUCUUCAUAGUCUAAGAAUGGGAAUGGAGGUGUGGAUAAUAAUAGUCUUCAUAGUCUUGCUUCUUUGGUUUAUUUCUUGUUUUUAAAAAAUAAAGUUUUAUUCUAUUACUUUCCAAGUGAGAUUUAAUUUUGGUCCAUAUUAUCUUAUUUUUAGGAUUGUGGUCCUUACUUUUACAAAUAGUUCUGGUUUGUGUUUGUUUCAUAA